AGCUAACGCAUUAAAUGAUCCGCCUGAGUAGUAUGCUCGCAAGAGUGAAACUUAAAGGAAUUGACGGGGACCCGCACAAGCGGUGGAGCAUGUGGUUUAAUUUGAAGAUACGCGGAGAACCUUACCCACUCUUGACAUCCUUCGCAAUGCUAUAGAGAUAUAGCGGAGGUUAACGGAGUGACAGAUGGUGCAUGGUUGUCGUCAGCUCGUGUCGUGAGAUGUUUGGUCAAGUCCUGCAACGAGCGCAACCCCUAUCUUUAGUUACUAACGAGUCAUGUCGAGGAUCCUAGAGAUAC
RNAcentral lists this ribosomal RNA (296 nucleotides) under Mycoplasmopsis arginini. RNAcentral's name for it is "Mycoplasma arginini partial 16S ribosomal RNA". It matches the Rfam family "Bacterial small subunit ribosomal RNA", at positions 850 to 1149 of the family's 1533-position model. The record is from RNAcentral. Lineage: Bacteria; Bacillati; Mycoplasmatota; Mycoplasmoidales; Metamycoplasmataceae.